RNAcentral lists this long non-coding RNA (345 nucleotides) under Numida meleagris (helmeted guineafowl). Its description in RNAcentral is "lncRNA (ENSNMEG00000018501.1)". Lineage: Eukaryota; Metazoa; Chordata; Aves; Galliformes; Numididae. The record is from RNAcentral.
CAUCUAUAUUCUAAACUAUUACCACUUAUUCUGUUUUUUACCUUUUACAGCCCUGUGCUUGACCACGUAUGACACUUUGACAUCUCAAAUCAACAGUUUGACAGGGAGAGAUUAAAUAUACUAGAAAAUAUACUAGAAAACACACAACCAGAGUCUGCAGAAUAUUCAAGGACACUGCAUGGAGCUGUUCAUCUCAAGUGUUUGAGAGGACCACAGAACAUCUAUGCUGACUUCUGUCAACAAGAAGUAUUUCACAGUCAAGAUUUUACAUGCUACCUCCUGAUGCCAACACUCUUUGAAAGGAGUGCAUUGUUGCAGCGUUCUGUUGUUUACCCUCUAAUUUGA